Molecule: transfer RNA, 72 nt
Filed under: Camelus ferus (Wild Bactrian camel)
Lineage: Eukaryota; Metazoa; Chordata; Mammalia; Artiodactyla; Camelidae
Rfam family: tRNA
About the family: Transfer RNA (tRNA) molecules are approximately 80 nucleotides in length. Their secondary structure includes four short double-helical elements and three loops (D, anti-codon, and T loops). Further hydrogen bonds mediate the characteristic L-shaped molecular structure. tRNAs have two regions of fundamental functional importance: the anti-codon, which is responsible for specific mRNA codon recognition, and the 3' end, to which the tRNAs corresponding amino acid is attached (by aminoacyl-tRNA synthetases). tRNAs cope with the degeneracy of the genetic code in two manners: having more than one tRNA (with a specific anti-codon) for a particular amino acid; and 'wobble' base-pairing, i.e. permitting non-standard base-pairing at the 3rd anti-codon position.
Source: Rfam by way of RNAcentral
GGAGGGUUAGCUCAGUGGUAGAGCACAUGCUUAGCAUACACAAGGUCCUGGGUUCAAUCCCUAGUACCUCCU